RNAcentral lists this ribosomal RNA (1275 nucleotides) under uncultured Sebacina. RNAcentral describes it as "eukaryotic LSU rRNA". The stretch from base 601 to 1275 matches the Rfam family "Eukaryotic large subunit ribosomal RNA", at positions 1 to 656 of the family's 3401-position model. The record is from RNAcentral. Lineage: Eukaryota; Fungi; Basidiomycota; Agaricomycetes; Sebacinales; Sebacinaceae.
UAGGUGAACCUGCGGAAGGAUCAUUAGUGAAUCUUCAAAGUCGGCUCGUCGGAUUGUGCUGGUGGGCAACCACAUGUGCACGUCUACGGGUCGCAAAUCCACACACCUGUGCAUCUAUGACUCUGAGUGCCGCUUUGCAUGGCCCUUGAUUGGACCUGGCGCUCGAGUACUUUUCACACACUCUUGAAUGUAACGGAAUGUCAAUGUUGUGCACAAUGUACAAACGAAACAACUUUCAACAACGGAUCUCUUGGCUCUCGCAUCGAUGAAGAACGCAGCGAAAUGCGAUAAGUAAUGUGAAUUGCAGAAUUCAGUGAAUCAUCGAAUCUUUGAACGCACCUUGCACCCUUUGGUAUUCCGAAGGGUACACCCGUUUGAGUGUCAUUGUAAUCUCACUACCAUCGACUUUGGUCUUUUCGGUAUGUGGACUUGGAUGCUGCCGUUGUUGUCGACGGCUCGUCUGAAAUGCCUGAGUGUACCCCGCUUUGCGGCGUAUUCGGUGUGAUACAUCUUCACCGGAGUUGAUCCUUGUGGUCGCGUCUGUAAUGGUGUGGCUCUAUGCUUCCAACCGUCUCUUUGGUUAGACAAUCUCUGACAAUUUGACCUCAAAUCGGGUGGGACUACCCGCUGAACUUAAGCAUAUCAAUAAGCGGAGGAAAAGAAACUAACAAGGAUUCCCCUAGUAACGGCGAGUGAAGAGGGAAAAGCUCAAAUUUUGAAUCUGGUGUCUUUGACUCCCGAGUUGUAAUCUAGAGAAGUGUUUUCCGUGUCGGACCGUGCACAAGUUCCCUGGAACGGGGCGUCAUAGAGGGUGAGAAUCCCGUAUAUGGCAUGGACUACCGAUGCUUUUGUGAUACACUCUCAACGAGUCGAGUUGUUUGGGAAUGCAGCUCAAAAUGGGUGGUAAAUUCCAUCUAAAGCUAAAUAUUGGCGAGAGACCGAUAGCGAACAAGUACCGUGAGGGAAAGAUGAAAAGCACUUUGGAAAGAGAGUGAAACAGUACGUGAAAUUGUUGAAAGGGAAGCGUUUGAAGUCAGUCAUAUCUGGCGGGAUUCAGCCGGGCUUUUGCCAGGUGUACUUCUCGUCCGAUGGGUCAGCAUCAAUUUCGACCGGGGGAAAAAGGCAUUGGGAAUGUGGCUGUCUUCGGGCAGUGUUAUAGCCUCGUGUUGUAUGCCUCGGUUGGGAUUGAGGAACGCAGCGCGCCGCAUGGCCAGGGGUUCGCCUCUUGACACGCGCUUAGGAUGCUGGCAUAAUGGCUUUAAGCGACCCGUCUUG